RNAcentral lists this ribosomal RNA (117 nucleotides) under Clostridium sp. BL8. Lineage: Bacteria; Bacillati; Bacillota; Clostridia; Eubacteriales; Clostridiaceae. The record is from RNAcentral.
UCUGGUGAUGAUGCGUUUAGAAGAUACACUCGUUCCCAUACCGAACACGCAAGUUAAGCUCUAAACGGCCAAGAGUACUGCAAGGGAGACUUUGUGGAGGGUAGGUGGUCGCCAGGU